Electrophorus electricus (electric eel) is the source of this 1184-nucleotide non-coding RNA. The record is from RefSeq and is a predicted model, not a curated record. Lineage: Eukaryota; Metazoa; Chordata; Actinopteri; Gymnotiformes; Gymnotidae.
CGUAAUUGCAAGUUACUGCAGAACUAGUCUACCUCCAAAUUACAAACGCUACUGCGCUUCCAGUAGUCCAAUAAAAAAGUGGUAUUCAUAAUGCAGAUGUGCAAUAAUGUAUAUUAUUAAAUGUAUCUUUAUAUGUGCUUGGGAGAUGCCGCUAAAAGUAAGAGACUAUGGACCACGAGUGCAGCAAAAUGGCUCGUAAAAGGUCGAUGGAUCAGCGCAUUCUGUCCUCAAAUGACUUUACUUUCUGUCAGCGGGAGCGCGCGAUCCAUCCCCUCCGCGUGGUUGCACUGACCACGAGCGAAGCGGCGAGGCUGCUCGCGCUCCGGUGUCGCCCUCCCACACGUAUCGCCGCCACACUGCACUACGCAGCCUCUGCUGUCCGACUGUGAGCUUCGCCCGAAAUCACACGCAAUAUGAAGUUAAAAAUAUUGAGAGGUUUCCAAUAGGAAUCGUCAUGUUCUAUUGCACUUUACUAAUUCACAUACAAUAUCAUCUAAAUGACUGGAGAGGGCACGGCAAUUGUGUGUGUUUAUCAUUUUUUUAAUUAUCAUACAGUGAAGCAUAUAAAACAAUUUAAAUUUGAAUUCCGUCUAUUUCUUGUCAUGCGUCCUGACAAUUUACCUGCAUGUACUGAAAUCUAUUUACAUUCUAAGACAACAGCAGCACAAAUGCAUACCAACAAGUGAUUUGAAUGGUUAUUGAACGUAAGCUAGUCUGACAAAACGUAUCCCGCUGCGGCUAAGACAGCACUUGUGUUGACAAGAUAUUUUAUUUCCUCGGUAGUGGUUCAAGGUUGUUGUUGUUGUUGUUUUGCAUAAAACACUAACUAAAUAUUUCGUGCCUAGGCCAAGGUCGCGAUCGGUUUUCACCGAUACGGUAUGCCAUUGGGUUUUUUUCCCUAAGAUUCAGUGUUGUAAUGGUUCCUUUACAAAGUCAUUAGUGAAGUCAUCAACUUUCUAAGUGGCCCUAAGCAGUCGACAGGGUGGCAACUAUAGGAGAGGUCCGCUAGCUUCAGAAGACCAAGCUAGGCGUGAAGCUGAAGUCGAGAAGCUGGUAGGCAUAGCUGGAAGGCUGAGUUCACGUUAUGUACUUUAUUCAGCUGGUUAAUGAGCUGUGGCUGGAGAGUUUCAGUUGACUUUCUUUGAUUUCCGAUUCUUCCAAGUUACUAUUCCUAUGAAAGUGCC